Camellia sinensis is the source of this 2271-nucleotide non-coding RNA. The record is from RefSeq and is a predicted model, not a curated record. NCBI's taxonomy places the organism in Eukaryota, Viridiplantae, Streptophyta, Magnoliopsida, Ericales, Theaceae.
CUGAAACCUCUCUCUCUUAUUUUAGGAUUUUAAUUUGUUCAUAUUUGUAGACUCUCUCUCUCUCCUGCAAUCCCUCAUUCUCUCUGAUUUCGCCAUGGAUGGGAGUAAGCAGAGGUUCGAAGCUCUCGGAGAAGCAGAGAGGUAAAGAGAAGACGAUGAAGGAGAAGAAGAAGAUGAUGAUGAUGACAGUGGCGGUGGCGGGAACAAUGUAGAAUUGGAGGAAGUUGAUGAUGAUGACGGUGGCAGUGGUGAAGUUAGGAGCCAACUCGGUGGGUUUGACUGUUCGUUACCACCUCCAAUCAAAGCACAGUUGGGCGGUUCUCAAUUGGAAACCCUAGCCAACUCCGAUCUUCCAUGCGAUUUUGUUGCUUCUUCUCGCCAUUUCUCGGAGGUGCCAGUGGUUUAUGCUCUUCUAUGGCUGCUGGAUUCGGCUGCAUUCAAGGUAUACAGAAUUUGGUGGUGUAGUUCCUUAUAGACCUGUUGAAGACUUGGCAUUUUCAGUUGCUAGGUUUAUACAAAAUAAUGGUUCAUUCAUGAAUUAUUAUAUGUACCAUGGCAGAACAAAUUUUGGGCGGACAGUUGCUGGUCUCUUCAUUGCCAUUAGCUACGACUAUGAUGCUCCGAUUGAUGAAUAUGGAUUACUAAGAGAACCAAAAUGGGGCAUUUGACGAAUUUGCACAAGGCUAUCAAGCAAUGUGAACCAGCUUUGGUUUCCUCGUAUCCCGCAGUGACUUGGCCUGGCAAUAAUCUAGAGGAACCGUGUACGGGCCGCUAGAGAAUCCAAAACUGACAUAUAGCAGCACUGUGAAGUUGAGAGCCGGAAUUAACAAGAUUUCUUUACUAAGUGUUGCUGUUGGCCUUCCGGUUAGUCCAUACCUCCUGAUAAAAGUUUACAUUCUUGGGAUGUUAAUGACAGUAAUGGAAUCUUUCUAAAUUCUAUUGGAUCGAUUUCAUAAUGUCGGUGUGCAUUAUGAGACAUGGAACACGGGGGUUCUUGGCCCGGUCACACUGAAGGGCCUCAAUGAGGGGACAAGAGACUUGACAAAGCAACAGUGGUCUUACAAGUUUCAUUUCAACUUUAUGAUCUCAAGCAUCAAGGAUUCAUAGAGACAGGAGCUUAUGAGUUUCCUGUGCCGUCAUGACAAUCAGUCUUUUCUUCCUCAUUGUCAACUUGUCUUUGUUAUUCAACUCUUUUUGCUCCUAUUGGAGAUGAACGGAAGCAAGUUCGCUAGAGGAUUCAUUACACCUGUGGACAUAUCCAAUGCUGUGUAAACAUUACUACUUUGUGCUACAAUUGUGAUUCCUUCAAGGAAGGAGUUGCACAAUACAUGAAAACUAAAUGGAGGGUGGUUGCAAUCUUUAAUGUGGUUCUGUUUGUUGUUUUGGUGAGAAACUCCUCUCCAUCUAGUUUGGAACAAAUCAAAUUAUCUUUUUCUCAUUAGCGAAUGAGGAACAACAGAUAAUAUGGCAUAUGAAUUGCAUUUUAUAUCUUCUAUUGUUGAAAUUGACAAAUUGUAUUAUGGAAGUAGCAUAAUAUUUGUAGAUUAUCAUUUUAUUGACAGUGUUUAUAUGAUAGGACCUUCUAAUCGAGUUCAUUUAUUUUUCUUACAAUUAUCUGUUGUGAAAUCAAUCAAUAAUCUACUUUGUGGGAUGCUGUGCGAACCGAAAUGCUACAAGGAGCCACUCUAAAGUUUGAAACAGACCUAUGUAUCUCAAGAAAUCUUCACUUGGAGCGGAGAAUGAGCUCUUUCAAUGGAGAAUGCGCUCUUUCAAUUCAAUGGAGAAUUAUAUAGUAAAUAUUCCAGUUGCUUUUGAUGCUCUCUUGGGAGGGUGCACGGAGUGGAAGCUAGAGCGCUGGACUGUCCUUUGUGAAAACGUCUUAUGAUUUGGAUACUUUUCUUGGUUUGUAUGUUUGAGGUUGUUAAAGUCGUAUUUUAGAGAUUAGUAGUUAUACGAUUAGUAUUUUAGAGAUUAGUCGUAUUUUAGAGGUUGUUAAAGUUGUAUUUUAGAGAUUAGUGGAAACUAGAGUCAUACUUUAGAGACUAAUUGAUUUACGAUUUGUAGUUAUAUUUUUUGGAUGUUUAAAGUUGUAUUUUAGGGAUUAGUGAAUCUUAUGAUUUAGAUACUUUUCUUGAUUUGUAUGUUUGAGGUUGUUAAAGUCGUAUUUUAGAGAUUAGUGAAUCUUAUGAUUUGGAUACUUUUCUUUAUUUGUAUGUUUGAGGUUGUUAUCAACUUGAUAUGAUAGAAGUUGAGGAUGGAAGUUAGUAUGCA